Bos taurus (domestic cattle) is the source of this 1187-nucleotide long non-coding RNA. The record is from Ensembl. NCBI's taxonomy places the organism in Eukaryota, Metazoa, Chordata, Mammalia, Artiodactyla, Bovidae.
CAGCCAGCCCGAGUCCGUCAGAAGCUUGCAUUUCCGCUUCCGGCGUUUAGUCGCUGUCCGAAUGUGAAUUUCAAGUUCUACUUCAAUUCCUAUCUGAAUGUGGCUUCUCAGGGAAGUGAAGGAAGAGGUUUGAAGUUCAGAGCACAGCUGCAGGGUUUCUCUCUGAUCUGAACAAUGGCUGUAGCUGUGGACAAACAAAUCCACACUCAAGUACAAGAAGGACUUCAAAUAAUGAAGCUGGAAGAAGAUUCCCACAGGGAGCAGGAAAUUUUCCUUCUAGGGAAUGUCCCUGGACCAGAGACCUCCUGCCAGUGCUUUUGGCAUUUCUGCUAUUGAGAAGCAGCAGGACUCUGAGAGUCCCUCAUCCAACUCUGGAAGCUUGGCCAUCGGUGAUUGAGACCAGAGAUAAACGAAAGAGCAGUUCCUAGAGUCACUAGUCCUAGAAUCGUUCCUGGCUGUCCUUCCCCAGGAGAUCCAGAUCUGGGUUAGACAGAAGCAUCCACAGAGUGGACAGGAGGCAGUGGCCCUGGUGGAAGAUUUGCAAAGAGAACCUGGAAGACAGCAGCUGCAGGUCAUGGUGAUGAUGUCACAGCCAGACCAGAAGACCAAAUGAAUCGUAGCCCCGAAGUAGAACUGGGAGCCUCCCACAAGAGUGAGCGGUGUGAGCAUCGGAUCACAUGCCCCGGCUCUUCCUGCCUGGAGGAGGCCCUCACCCACUCAUCCCACGGCACCUGAACCCUUGGGGGACUCCCUGCUCAACUCGGCACAGCACGUGGGACCACUGCGGAUCAGCUGCAGCCCACGUUCCCAGUUGUAUUUCCAACUUCCUUUGCUCCCCAGGCUGGGGCUGCAGCUUCUCCCACUUCUGUCUUUUCUGUGCUGUUCCCUCUGCCUGGGAUACCCCACACUGCUGAGGCUCCUCUCCUGACGCCCGUGGUUGAACUGGAUUGGGUCCUGUACAGAAGUACCGCUGGGCAUGCGUGGAGGGCGGUGCUCCUCAGCCGGGUCCACAGAUGUGCACCCUGAGCAUCACCUGGGAGCUUAAAUGAACUGCAAAUUCUCAAGCCCACCCUCAAACUGGAGGUUCCUUUUUCUUUUUGGCUAUGCUGGGUCUUCACUGCUGGAUGAAGGCUACUCUCCAGUAGCGGUGUGCAGGCAUCUCAUUGCAGUGGCUUCUCUUGUUGCAG